GACGAACGCUGGCGGCGUGCUUAACACAUGCAAGUCGAACGGAAAGGCCCUUCGGGGUACUCGAGUGGCGAACGGGUGAGUAACACGUGGGUGAUCUGCCCUGCACUUUGGGAUAAGCCUGGGAAACUGGGUCUAAUACCGAAUAUGACCGCGCACUUCCUGGUGUGUGGUGGAAAGCUUUUGCGGUGUGGGAUGGGCCCGCGGCCUAUCAGCUUGUUGGUGGGGUAAUGGCCUACCAAGGCGACGACGGGUAGCCGGCCUGAGAGGGUGACCGGCCACACUGGGACUGAGAUACGGCCCAUACUCCUACGGGAGGCAGCAGUGGGGAAUAUUGGACAAUGGGCGAAAGCCUGAUCCAGCAAUACCGCGUGUGUGAAGAAGGCCUUCGGGUUGUAAAGCACUUUAAGUUGGGAAGAAAAAGCUUCACCUAAUACGUGAAGCCUUGACGGUACCGACAGAAUAAGCACCGGCUAACUCUGUGCCAGCAGCCGCGGUAAUACAGAGGGUGCUAGCGUUAAUCGGAUUUACUGGGCGUAAAGCGUGCGUAGGUGGUUUGAUAAGUCGAUUGUGAAAGCCCCGGGCUUAACCUGGGAAUUGCGGUCGAUACUGUCAGACUCGAAAACGGUAGAGGGAGGU
RNAcentral lists this ribosomal RNA (636 nucleotides) under uncultured bacterium. RNAcentral's name for it is "bacterial SSU rRNA". It matches the Rfam family "Bacterial small subunit ribosomal RNA", at positions 28 to 662 of the family's 1533-position model. The record is from RNAcentral.